GCCGCGGUAGCUCAAUUGGUAAAGCAUCGCACGCGCAAUGCGAAUGUUGUGGGUUCCGUUCCCACCUGCGGCA
Dermacentor andersoni is the source of this 73-nucleotide non-coding RNA. The record is from the annotation of a RefSeq genome assembly. NCBI's taxonomy places the organism in Eukaryota, Metazoa, Arthropoda, Arachnida, Ixodida, Ixodidae.